GUGGGCAAACGUACAAAAUCAGCAGGGGAUCAAAUACUUUUUUCCCCCACUGUAUGGAUACCUACAUUUGGGUCUCCUUAGCUGCUGGAUUUAUCCGUCCCUAUUCCUCUCCCGCCAGCACAGGGUUCUUCUUCAUGGAGAAAAAGGACAAGACCUUGUGCGAGUGAAUUGACCAACGACAUUACGGUUAAGAACCGUUACCCACUUCCACUCAUCUCCUCGGCCUUCGUGCCGCUCCAGAGGGCCACUGUGUUUUCCAAGCUAGAUCUAUGGAAUGCCUACCACAUGGUGCGGAUACGAGCGGGGGAUGAGUGGAAGACCGCCUUCAACACCGCCAGUGGCCACUACGAGUAUCUGGUCAUCCCCUUUGGCCUCACCAACGCCCCUGCUGUGUUCCAGGCUAUGGACAUGUUGAACCGGUUCAUCUUCGUCUACAUUGAUGACAUCCUCGUCUUCUCCCGCUCCCCUCAAGAACACGUGCUCCAGUCCGGCAGGUCCUUCAACGCCUUCUGGAGAAUCAGCUGUUUAUGAAGGCGGAGAAGUGUGAGUUCCAUCGCUCCACCAUCCCCUUUCUGGGUUACAUCAUCUCUGCUGGGAGUGUCCAGAUGGAUCCUGGGAAGUUGAGACGCCUCCUGAGGGUUCGACCACGGGGAAGGGGUUUCCAGUACCUGGUUGACAGGGAGGGUUGUGGCCUGGAGGAGAGGUGCUGGGUCCCCGAUAGAGACAUCCUGGACCCAGCCCACAUCGCUGACUUCCGGCACCCCGGUCAACCAGUUUUUGACCCUUGCCUGUCCUGACCCUGAACCCGCCCGCCUGACCAGUCUGCCUACCCCUGACCCUGAGCCUGCCUGCCGUCAUGUACCUUUGCCCCCUGUUGCUGUAAUAAACGUUGUUUAUUAAACAUUAAACAUAAACAUUGUUUAUUACAGCAACUCUGUAUCUGGGUCUUACCUUAUCCUGAUAAACAAUAAUUUCUCAAAAUCCGCCAACCUCAAGAACAAUCUAAUGAAUAUCAAGAUUCAGGUGGUUUAUGCCUAUUAGUUGAAGAUCCUUAUAGGUAACUUAUAGAUAACUUCUAGGAUUGUAGACAACAUAGGAUGUGUUCAUGAGUUGUGAGUCCCUCUACCAUCUCUGCCCUAGUGUGUGAUCUUAGUGGCUCAGAUGGUAGAGUAUGGCGCUUGCAUCGCCGGGGUUGUGGGUUUGAUUUCCACAGUAGCCCAAUAUACAAAAAUUACACAAAUGUAUGCACUCACAACUGUAAAUCGCUUUGCAUAAGUGUAAUGCACACAAUACUAAAAUGUCAUCAAUUAUAAUUGAUUCCUGGAGCAUUUUAUAUCCAGCACUUAUUUGUAUGACUUAUUCAAAACUGUCCAUGAAUGGCUGCAAACAUACACAGCCUCACAACAUUCAUUUUCAAAGACACAAGUAGGCAUAUCAGAUUGAAAUGAUGUAAUAACACUGGCAAAACUGGGAAGAAGUGGAAUAUGAAAAUAAGUAUGGGGAAUAACAUUAGUGUUCUUGCUGACAAGCACGGUAAUUACCCUAUAUUUUAGCCCAUUGUUAAGAAUAAGAAUUGUUCCACUGAUCAGACUAAGUAAAGUAAAUAGAUAAUAAAAUCUCCUGAAGACGAGAGAACAUAAAUCUGCCCCUACACCCUAAUCAAAUAAUUGUUAUAUUCAUUGUCCGUCCUCUAGAAUCAAACUUUUACUUUUCGGUUCCCAAUCUGUUUGACACAUUUUUUCAUAGUUACAAAUCAGCCCACCCUACCAAACUUCCCUGAAUAGACAUUUAAAUCCGACUGAAGGAGAACAGUUACAUUUUUUUAUUUUUUAUUCAGGGUAGUACCGUGAAUUUGGUUAAUGUCAAGCAGUACCGGAGCACCAAGUCUAGGUUCAAGAGGCUUCUAAACAGCUUCUACCCCCAAGCCAUAAGACUAUUGAACACCGAAUCAAAUGGCUAUUUGCAUUGCCCUCCACCUCCUCUUUUACACCGCUGCUACUCUCUGUUGUUAUCAUCUAUACAUAUACGUAUAACCUCAACUAACCGGUACCCCCGCACAUUGACUCUGUACCAGUACCCCCCUGUACAUAGUCUCCACAUUGACUCUGUACCGGUACCCCCUGUAUAUAUCCUCCACAUUGACUCUGUACCAGUACCCCCCUGUAUAUAGCCUCCACAUUGACUCUGUACCAGUACCCCCUGUAUAUAGCCUCCACAUUGACUCUGUACCAGUACCCCCCUGUAUAUAGUCUCGCUAUUGUUAUUUUACUGCUGC
RNAcentral lists this long non-coding RNA (2275 nucleotides) under Salmo salar (Atlantic salmon). RNAcentral's name for it is "lncRNA (ENSSSAG00000092340.1)". The stretch from base 1154 to 1211 matches the Rfam family "tRNA", at positions 8 to 63 of the family's 71-position model. The record is from RNAcentral. Lineage: Eukaryota; Metazoa; Chordata; Actinopteri; Salmoniformes; Salmonidae.